RNAcentral lists this unclassified non-coding RNA (361 nucleotides) under Hevea brasiliensis (rubber tree). The record is from RNAcentral. Lineage: Eukaryota; Viridiplantae; Streptophyta; Magnoliopsida; Malpighiales; Euphorbiaceae.
GGAUCCAUUAGCUUCUUAAUUCAAAAAAUAUUCCAGGGUCCACUGAGUAACUGAACUAAAUUCAGUUUCUGAAUGCCCAAUGAUCAUUAUUUCGGUACUAACAAAUGUACAAUCCAAAGUCGGAUGCAAAGUCAUGCAUUGCAAGUUUCUUGCACAACUUGCUUCUUGUGAGUUCAAAUUAUUUAAUAACACUAUCAGAAUACAAUAAGAUCAUGCAAAUGAGAUGGUUAUCAGUUGGUUAUUCUGAUUAAACAUAUAAUUGUUAUAUUAAACACACAAUGCAUCAGUGGUUGAAAAGAAAAUUUAAACAACUUAAACUGGCUUAAAAAACCAUGAACUAACUAAAAAGAAAUGCACAUUC